Molecule: transfer RNA, 83 nt
Filed under: Chaetosphaeridium globosum
Lineage: Eukaryota; Viridiplantae; Streptophyta; Coleochaetophyceae; Coleochaetales; Chaetosphaeridiaceae
Description: tRNA-Tyr
Rfam family: tRNA
About the family: Transfer RNA (tRNA) molecules are approximately 80 nucleotides in length. Their secondary structure includes four short double-helical elements and three loops (D, anti-codon, and T loops). Further hydrogen bonds mediate the characteristic L-shaped molecular structure. tRNAs have two regions of fundamental functional importance: the anti-codon, which is responsible for specific mRNA codon recognition, and the 3' end, to which the tRNAs corresponding amino acid is attached (by aminoacyl-tRNA synthetases). tRNAs cope with the degeneracy of the genetic code in two manners: having more than one tRNA (with a specific anti-codon) for a particular amino acid; and 'wobble' base-pairing, i.e. permitting non-standard base-pairing at the 3rd anti-codon position.
Source: RNAcentral
GGGAGAGUGGCCGAGUGGUUAAAAGCGAUAGACUGUAAAUCUAUUUUCUUAAGAAUACGUAGGUUCGAAUCCUUCCUCUCCCA